RNAcentral lists this long non-coding RNA (1477 nucleotides) under Sus scrofa (pig). Its description in RNAcentral is "lncRNA (ENSSSCG00025014417.1)". Lineage: Eukaryota; Metazoa; Chordata; Mammalia; Artiodactyla; Suidae. The record is from RNAcentral.
UAAGACUCCUCCAAUCCAUCUGAAUGGUGGAUCUCACAGCUGCGCAGUCCUAGCAGAGGUGGAUGAAACUGGACCUGAUUCUGCAUUAGGCCCAUGGGAGGGAAAUGAUAGUGGCCACAAGGUCUGGCUUCAAGGUCACAGCUCCUAAGAACUUAUAUGCCCCUAUGCAGUGGUAUCGGAGAGAAAAGAGGAAGGAAAUCGACAUUCAGCUGCAUGGAGGGCAUCACCCCAAAACAGGCUGUUGCUAUGGGAGAGUUGAUGACAAUCAUUAUGCCAGCAGCUUACAAGUAGUAAGGGCUUACUUCCUGUUAGGCACACUCACUUCUCAGACCAGAUUAUGGUUGGUACCAUCUAUUUUUUUUUAUUUUUAUUUAUUUAUUUAUUUAUUUAUUGUCUUUUUGCCAUUUUCUUGGGCUGCUCUCGAGGCAUAUGGAUGUUCCCAGGCUAGGGGUCGAAUUGGAGCUGUAGCCGCUGGUCUACACCAGAGCCACAACAACGCAGGAUCCGAGCUGCGUCUUUGACCUACACCACAGCUCACGGCAACGCUGAAUCCCCAACCCACUGAGCAAGGACACUAUGUUGGGUUAUCAACCCUCCGAGCCACAGUGGGAACUCCCUGGGGUAGGUACUAUGGUCCCCACUGUAUAGAUGAGAACUGAGUCACGACACGGUUAAGGACUUGCCAAAAGUCACAAACAGAAAGGAUGAAGCCUGGAUGGGACCCUGGCGUGUGCAGGGUUGACCAAUGGACUACACAACGCGGCAAAAGGAAGAUGGGGAUGAGCCUGGAGCUGAUGCUGAGGCCAGGCCAAGAUCCUGGGCAGUGAAUCCGCCACCUGCCUGGUGGGCUGUUCUGGCUCCAGCAUCCAAGUCAGAGAGGAGACCUUCACUGGUCCUCCCUGUGCGGGUCAGAGGCCUUCCUCAAGUCUCCAGUGACCCAGCAACUUCCGAGCUCCGAUAGCUCCCCUGGAGCCCUCUCUCUCUCUCCUUGUGAGAAAGGCACAGCUCAAUCAUCUGUUGGCCAUGACUGUCUUCCCAGCCCAGGUCUGGGAGGCAGGAGGCGGGCUGGCUGUCCUAAGCCUUUUGGCCUCAGGGCCCCCAUUAUAACCUAACAGGCAUGGCUAGUGGGAUCUGCCCACAAAUAACGAUCCAUCAACUCUUACAGACUAGACUCAUUAAGUCUUCAAUAAAAACGGGCAAAGAGUUCCCGUCAUGGCUCAGCGACAGCAGCGAAUCCGACUAUUAUCCAUGAGGAUGAGGGUUCGAUCCCUGGCCUUGCUCAGUGGGUUAGGAUCUGGCAUUGUAUGAGCUGUGGUGUCGAUUGCAGACAGCAAUGCUCAGAUCUGGCAUGGCUGUGCCAGUGGCGUAGGCCAGCAGCUGUAGUUCCGAUUCAUUCCCUAGCCUGGGAACCUCCAUACGCCGCGGAUACAGCCCUGAAAAAGCAAAAGCAAAAAAAAAAAAAAAAAAAAAAAAAAAA